UGCCAGCCGCCGCGGUAAUACGGAGGGUGCAAGCGUUAAUCGGAAUUACUGGGCGCAAAGCGCGCGUAGGUGGUUUGGUCAGUUGGAUGUGAAAGCCCCGGGCUUAACCUGGGAACUGCAUUCAAUACUGCCAGACUAGAGUACGAGAGAGGGGGGUAGAAUUUCUAGUGUAGCGGUGAAAUGCGUAGAUAUUAGAAGGAAUACCAGUGGCGAAGGCGGCUCACUGGCUCGAUACUGACGCUGAGGUACGAAAGUGUGGGGAGCAAACAGGAUUAGAUA
RNAcentral lists this ribosomal RNA (279 nucleotides) under uncultured bacterium. Its description in RNAcentral is "partial 16S ribosomal RNA". It matches the Rfam family "Bacterial small subunit ribosomal RNA", at positions 506 to 784 of the family's 1533-position model. The record is from RNAcentral.